AGAGAUUGAACUGAAGAGUUUGAUCCUGGCUCAGAUUGAACGCUGGCGGGAUGCUUUACACAUGCAAGUCGGACGGCAGCACGGGCUUCGGCCUGGUGGCGAGUGGCGAACGGGUGAGUAAUGUAUCGGAACGUGCCAGUAGCGGGGGAUAACUACGCGAAAGCGUGGCUAAUACCGCAUACGCCCUACGGGGGGAAAGCGGGGACCUUCGGGCCUCGCACUAUUGGAGCGGCCGAUAUCGGAUUAGCUAGUUGGUGGGGUAACGGCCUACCAAGGCGACGAUCCGUAGCUGGUUUGAGAGGACGACCAGCCACACUGGGACUGAGACACGGCCCAGACUCCUACGGGAGGCAGCAGUGGGGAAUUUUGGACAAUGGGGGCAACCCUGAUCCAGCCAUCCCGCGUGUGCGAUGAAGGCCUUCGGGUUGUAAAGCACUUUUGGCAGGAAAGAAACGGCACGGGCUAAUAUCCUGUGCAACUGACGGUACCUGCAGAAUAAGCACCGGCUAACUACGUGCCAGCAGCCGCGGUAAUACGUAGGGUGCAAGCGUUAAUCGGAAUUACUGGGCGUAAAGCGUGCGCAGGCGGUUCGGAAAGAAAGAUGUGAAAUCCCAGGGCUUAACCUUGGAACUGCAUUUUUAACUACCGGGCUAGAGUGUGUCAGAGGGAGGUGGAAUUCCGCGUGUAGCAGUGAAAUGCGUAGAUAUGCGGAGGAACACCGAUGGCGAAGGCAGCCUCCUGGGAUAACACUGACGCUCAUGCACGAAAGUGUGGGGAGCAAACAGGAUUAGAUACCCUGGUAGUCCACGCGCCCUAAACGAUGUCAACUAGCUGUUGGGGCCUUCGGGCCUUGGUAGCGCAGCUAACGCGUGAAGUUGACCGCCUGGGGAGUACGGUCGCAAGAUUAAAACUCAAAGGAAUUGACGGGGACCCGCACAAGCGGUGGAUGAUGUGGAUUAAUUCGAUGCAACGCGAAAAACCUUACCUACCCUUGACAUGUCUGGAAUCCCGAAGAGAUUUGGGAGUGCUCGCAAGAGAACCGGAACACAGGUGCUGCAUGGCUGUCGUCAGCUCGUGUCGUGAGAUGUUGGGUUAAGUCCCGCAACGAGCGCAACCCUUGUCAUUAGUUGCUACGAAAGGGCACUCUAAUGAGACUGCCGGUGACAAACCGGAGGAAGGUGGGGAUGACGUCAAGUCCUCAUGGCCCUUAUGGGUAGGGCUUCACACGUCAUACAAUGGUCGGGACAGAGGGUUGCCAACCCGCGAGGGGAGCCAAUCCCAGAAACCCGGUCGUAGUCCGGAUCGCAGUCUGCAACUCGACUGCGUGAAGUCGGAAUCGCUAGUAAUCGCGGAUCAGCAUGUCGCGGUGAAUACGUUCCCGGGUCUUGUACACACCGCCCGUCACACCAUGGGAGUGGGUUUUACCAGAAGUAGUUAGCCUAACCGCAAAGGGGGCGAUUACCACGGUAGGAUUCAUGACUGGGGUGAAGUCGUAACAAGGUAGCCGUAUCGGAAGGUGCGGCUGGAUCACCUCCUUUAAGA
RNAcentral lists this ribosomal RNA (1542 nucleotides) under Bordetella pertussis. RNAcentral describes it as "bacterial SSU rRNA". It matches the Rfam family "Bacterial small subunit ribosomal RNA". The record is from RNAcentral. Lineage: Bacteria; Pseudomonadati; Pseudomonadota; Betaproteobacteria; Burkholderiales; Alcaligenaceae.